GUGGGGAAUAUUGGACAAUGGGGGGAACCCUGAUCCAGCCAUGCCGCGUGUGUGAAGAAGGCCUUUUGGUUGUAAAGCACUUUAAGCGAGGAGGAGGCUACCGAGAUUAAUACUCUUGGAUAGUGGACGUUACUCGCAGAAUAAGCACCGGCUAACUCUGUGCCAGCAGCCGCGGUAAUACAGAGGGUGCAAGCGUUAAUCGGAUUUACUGGGCGGAAAGCGCGCGUAGGUGGCCAAUUAAGUCAAAUGUGAAAUCCCCGAGCUUAACUUGGGAAUUGCAUUCGAUACUGGUUGGCUAGAGUAUGGGAGAGGAUGGUAGAAUUCCAGGUGUAGCGGUGAAAUGCGUAGAGAUCUGGAGGAAUACCGAUGGCGAAGGCAGCCAUCUGGCCUAAUACUGACACUGAGGUGCGAAAGCAUGGGGAGCAAACAGGAUUAGAAACCCGGGUAGUCC
Molecule: ribosomal RNA, 451 nt
Filed under: uncultured bacterium
Lineage: Bacteria
Description: partial 16S ribosomal RNA
Rfam family: Bacterial small subunit ribosomal RNA
Source: RNAcentral